RNAcentral lists this ribosomal RNA (255 nucleotides) under uncultured bacterium. Its description in RNAcentral is "partial 16S ribosomal RNA". It matches the Rfam family "Bacterial small subunit ribosomal RNA", at positions 524 to 776 of the family's 1533-position model. The record is from RNAcentral.
UACGUAGGGUGCAAGCGUUGUCCGGAAUUAUUGGGCGUAAAGAGCUCGUAGGCGGUUCGUCACGUCGGCUGUGAAAUCCCGAGGCUCAACCUCGGGUCUGCAGUCGAUACGGGCGGACUGGAGUACUGCAGGGGAGACUGGAAUUCCUGGUGUAGCGGUGAAAAUGCGCAGAUAUCAGGAGGAACACCGGUGGCGAAGGCGGGUCUCUGGGCAGUAACUGACGCUGGAGGAGCGAAAGCGUGGGGAGCGAACAGG